GACGAACGCUGGCGGCGUGCUUAAUACAUGCAAGUCGAACGGAAGGGCCCUGCUCUUGCUCGGCUCUCGUGAGGCGCACGGGGGUGUAUAACGCGAGUAUCCCGUCCUUGUCAUUGGGGUAAAUUUAGGGGACACGGGCUCUAAUACGGUAGAAGCUCUUGAUGCACGGUGGGGGUUGGUAAGAUUCGGCGGUGGUGGAUAGUCGCGCGGCUUAUCCGCUUGUUGGUGGGGUAGUGGCUUACCAAGCCUUCGACGGGUAGCCGGCCUGGGAGCGUGACCGGGCACAUUGGGACUGCGGUACGGCGCAGACGCCUACGGGAGGCAGCAGGGGAGAACAUGGCGCAGUGGGGGGACGCGUGAGGCAGCGACGUCGCGUGCGUGAUGACGGGCUUCGGGUGGUAAACCGCUUUCGCCGGUAACGAAGCGUGAGUGACGGUAAUGGGUAAGAAAGCACCGGCUAACUACGUG
RNAcentral lists this ribosomal RNA (468 nucleotides) under uncultured bacterium. RNAcentral describes it as "partial 16S ribosomal RNA". It matches the Rfam family "Bacterial small subunit ribosomal RNA", at positions 28 to 507 of the family's 1533-position model. The record is from RNAcentral.